This 380-nucleotide ribosomal RNA is filed under the name uncultured eukaryote. Its description in RNAcentral is "partial 18S ribosomal RNA". It matches the Rfam family "Eukaryotic small subunit ribosomal RNA", at positions 592 to 976 of the family's 1831-position model. The record is from RNAcentral.
CAAUAGCGUAUAUUAAAGCUGUUGCAGUUAAAAAGCUCGUAGUUGGAUUUGUGGCGUACGGUGUGUUCCGGGCACUUGUUGUCUGAGUAACCUGCUGUUGCCAUCCUUGGGUGGAACCUGUGUGGCAUUAGGUUGUCGUGCAGGGGAUGCCCAUCAUUUACUGUGAAAAAAUUAGAGUGUUCAAAGCAGGCUUAUGCCGUUGAAUAUAUUAGCAUGGAAUAAUGAGAUAGGACUUUUUUGCUAUUUUGUUGGUUUGCGCAAGAAGGUAAUGAUUAAUAGGGACAGUUGGGGGUAUUCGUAUUCCAUUGUCAGAGGUGAAAUUCUUGGAUUUUUGGAAGACGAACUACUGCGAAAGCAUUUACCAAGGAUGUUUUCAUUAA